RNAcentral lists this ribosomal RNA (1363 nucleotides) under Klebsiella quasipneumoniae. RNAcentral describes it as "bacterial LSU rRNA". It matches the Rfam family "Bacterial large subunit ribosomal RNA", at positions 1585 to 2925 of the family's 2925-position model. The record is from RNAcentral. Lineage: Bacteria; Pseudomonadati; Pseudomonadota; Gammaproteobacteria; Enterobacterales; Enterobacteriaceae.
CUGAAGUAACAAAUGCCCUGCUUCCAGGAAAAGCCUCUAAGCAUCAGGUAACAUCAAAUCGUACCCCAAACCGACACAGGUGGUCAGGUAGAGAAUACCAAGGCGCUUGAGAGAACUCGGGUGAAGGAACUAGGCAAAAUGGUGCCGUAACUUCGGGAGAAGGCACGCUGGUGUGUAGGUGAAGUCCCUGCGGAUGGAGCUGAGACCAGUCGAAGAUACCAGCUGGCUGCAACUGUUUAUUAAAAACACAGCACUGUGCAAACACGAAAGUGGACGUAUACGGUGUGACGCCUGCCCGGUGCCGGAAGGUUAAUUGAUGGGGUUAUCCGUAAGGAGAAGCUCUUGAUCGAAGCCCCGGUAAACGGCGGCCGUAACUAUAACGGUCCUAAGGUAGCGAAAUUCCUUGUCGGGUAAGUUCCGACCUGCACGAAUGGCGUAAUGAUGGCCAGGCUGUCUCCACCCGAGACUCAGUGAAAUUGAACUCGCUGUGAAGAUGCAGUGUACCCGCGGCAAGACGGAAAGACCCCGUGAACCUUUACUAUAGCUUGACACUGAACAUUGAGCCUUGAUGUGUAGGAUAGGUGGGAGGCUUUGAAGCGUGGACGCCAGUCUGCGUGGAGCCAACCUUGAAAUACCACCCUUUAAUGUUUGAUGUUCUAACGUGGGCCCCUGACCGGGGUUGCGGACAGUGUCUGGUGGGUAGUUUGACUGGGGCGGUCUCCUCCCAAAGCGUAACGGAGGAGCACGAAGGUUAGCUAAUCCUGGUCGGACAUCAGGAGGUUAGUGCAAUGGCAUAAGCUAGCUUGACUGCGAGCGUGACGGCGCGAGCAGGUGCGAAAGCAGGUCAUAGUGAUCCGGUGGUUCUGAAUGGAAGGGCCAUCGCUCAACGGAUAAAAGGUACUCCGGGGAUAACAGGCUGAUACCGCCCAAGAGUUCAUAUCGACGGCGGUGUUUGGCACCUCGAUGUCGGCUCAUCACAUCCUGGGGCUGAAGUAGGUCCCAAGGGUAUGGCUGUUCGCCAUUUAAAGUGGUACGCGAGCUGGGUUUAGAACGUCGUGAGACAGUUCGGUCCCUAUCUGCCGUGGGCGCUGGAGAAUUGAGGGGGGCUGCUCCUAGUACGAGAGGACCGGAGUGGACGCAUCACUGGUGUUCGGGUUGUCAUGCCAAUGGCACUGCCCGGUAGCUAAAUGCGGAAGAGAUAAGUGCUGAAAGCAUCUAAGCACGAAACUUGCCCCGAGAUGAGUUCUCCCUGAGACUUUAAGUCUCCUGAAGGAACGUUGAAGACGACGACGUUGAUAGGCCGGGUGUGUAAGCGCAGCGAUGCGUUGAGCUAACCGGUACUAAUGAACCGUGAGGCUUAACC